Molecule: RNA transcript, 2322 nt
Organism: Nannospalax galili (Upper Galilee mountains blind mole rat)
Lineage: Eukaryota; Metazoa; Chordata; Mammalia; Rodentia; Spalacidae
Gene: Fbxo15
Gene name: F-box protein 15
Exons: 13
Source: RefSeq, a predicted model, not a curated record
UGGUUCUUCAACCUCUGAGAACAAAAAACUUGCAAAAUCAGAUUAGUUGCAAACUGCGUGUUCUCAUGACCUUUCUAGAGAGGACUGUGUCAAUUGGGAGGACCUUGAGGGUUUGCCAUAAUUAUGGAAAAUGAUUUAAUAUCAGCAUUUCCGUUUCUUCUCAAGAACAGAACUAACUAUUGGAGAUUAACCAGACCGCUAGAGAAUCGUUCAAUUGUGCACCCAAGUCAGAAUGACCAGGGCUUGGGAAAGAAGUCGGCCCCAGAAGUCAGCAAGACCACGUUCACAGCGUGAAGGUGGAGGUUUCAGCGGCAAAGCCCGGUCUACGCAUGCGCGAGCCCGGUCGCGCCAUUGCGCACGCUCGAGGCUUCGUGCUUCUUUUCCAAUCUGUCACGCUGCUACGCGGUACCGCUGGGUCCCCAUGGCGACCGGACGCUGUAGGAUGCUGAGGCAAAGAAGUUUUGGCCUCCACGCGCUCCGCGGGUCCUUCUCUGGCGGCAGCACGACCUGGGGCAGCUCAGGGGCGGCCGUAGGGCGCUCCGGGUUCAGAAAGAAUACUGGUGUUAAACUUACUGGAGGUUCAUCUGCUCUGAGGCAAUAUACCAGACAUGGCCAGCACAAUGGGAGAACCUCCUCUAUCUGUUUUGUGUUCCUGGACAGAAUGCCCUCAGAAAUCUUGUUGAAGAUUUUUUCCUACUUGGAUGCUGUGAGUCUGCUAUGUACUGGAUGUGUGAGCAGGCGCUUUUAUCAAUUGGCCAAUGACAAUUUUAUUUGGAUCAGAAUCUACUCAGCUGCAUUUUCAUCUAAAAGAUCGAAUUGGAAAGUUAGUUCAGUAGAGGAGACAGCUGCAUCUGUGAGCUUACUGUCAGUUGAGGAUAAAGAAGUUGGAUAUUGGAAGAAAGAAUAUAUUAAAAAACAAAUCUCAUCUGUGAAAUCUGUACUAGCCCAUAUUCUCAAACCUGUCAACCCCUAUACAGGUCUUCCUGUGAAAACCAAAGAGGCCCUCAGAAUAUCUGGCUUAGGUUGGGCAAUUAUAUUAAAAGAAAAAAGCGGAAAAGAACACAUGAUGCAGCAUGUUGACCUUUCCUUAAAUGAUGCAUCUAUCACUGUUGCAUGGUAUGGCAGAAAUUGGCCACAUUUAUCCACAUUGUCAACCUUGGAUUUGUGUGGUGUGACACCAGUUUUUAUGGACAGGUAUAAACCCCCUGUCCCAAAUGGACCUCGAUGGCUCUCUUUAAUUGCAAAGUAUGAUCUGAGUCAUUUAAGCAAGUCUACUAUGAUUGGCUGUGACAGACUUGUUCGGAUCUUCUGUCUAAAUCCUGGCCUCCUGGUGGGAUUGUGGCAGAAGGAGGACGGACUGGCUUUUGUCAUUGCAAAUCUUCAUUUCCAUCACCUUGUGGAGAGGAGUACAUUUGGCUCGGCCACUUUUCCUUAUGUGCUGCCUCCUCACUCUCCCUUUGUGGAUGACAACCCAGAAUAUGGUCUGCAAGGCUAUCAGCUCCACAUUGACAUGCAUGGCGGUGGGAUUUUCUACCUGUGUAGUACAUUUCACAAUCUUUUCUCCAGGAAAGGGUACAUUGAGAAUGGAUAUGUGAAGUUCAUGGCAAUUAAUUUAAAAAAUAACAGAGAACACCUACCUCUUAUUGGAAAAGUUGGCCUUGCUUGGAGAACUGAUAUUUUUGAUGGCUUUAUUGAGGGCAAGAUGGAAAACCACACCGGCUUCAGAAGUAGACAAGCAGCUCUGGAGGCAGAUGACAUAUGCAGUCACCUGGAUUUGUGAAGCAUUCAAGGUGACUAUGUACUCCCUAAUACAGUGGGACUCUUCACACCACAUGUAGAACGGAGCUCCUCAGGGAGAUGAACGGGUGUUGAAAGCAGAAUGCAUGCUGUUCCCAGCACCACUGCACAGGACAGGGGUCACUGCUGCAGGACAUCUGCAGAAACAGCAGGAUAAAUAUUCUGGGAAAGCAGUCCAUAAGAGUUAUGAAUCAUAAAUCAAGGUCACUAGGAACUUACCCCGAGGUAGAUCACUGUGUUCUGUCUCAUGGGUGCAGUAUACAGUAUGAGAAAUCACUCAGUAACUCGAUAACGAGAUGAGAAAUCCAUCAGAGCUGGCAGAAGUCACAGUUUCUAGAGCCCAGAAUCCAACACUUAGAAGUACAGAAGGAACUAAGGCCAUCUGAGAGUGAAGAUUGCUGCUUAUUUUCAGGCCAAACCGCUUACAGCUGUACUUCUGGCUACAGUGAGAUCUCAAGGAUCAAAACUGAACUCGAGAAAUGUCUGUAGUGUGAUCUUUAAAACAGAAAUACAUCAGGCUAAUAU